GACGAACGCUGGCGGCGCGCCUAACACAUGCAAGUCGAACGGAGCUUUGAGAGCUUGCUUUUAAAGCUUAGUGGCGAACGGGUGAGUAACGCGUGAGUAACCUGCCCUGGAGUGGGGGACAACAGUUGGAAACGACUGCUAAUACCGCAUAAGCCCACGGCCCGGCAUCGGGUUGAGGGAAAAGGAUUUAUUCGCUUCAGGAUGGACUCGCGUCCAAUUAGCUAGUUGGUAAGGUAACGGCUUACCAAGGCGACGAUGCAUAGCCGAGUUGAGAGACUGAUCGGCCACAUUGGGACUGAGACACGGCCCAA
RNAcentral lists this ribosomal RNA (311 nucleotides) under uncultured bacterium. RNAcentral's name for it is "bacterial SSU rRNA". It matches the Rfam family "Bacterial small subunit ribosomal RNA", at positions 28 to 334 of the family's 1533-position model. The record is from RNAcentral.